Molecule: ribosomal RNA, 435 nt
Filed under: uncultured bacterium
Lineage: Bacteria
Description: partial 16S ribosomal RNA
Rfam family: Bacterial small subunit ribosomal RNA
Source: RNAcentral
AAUGAACGCUGGCGGUAUGCUUAACACAUGCAAGUCGAACGGACUCUUCGGAGUUAGUGGCGGACGGGUGAGUAACGCGUGAGAAUCUGGCUUUGGGUUCGGGACAACCACUGGAAACGGGGGCUAAUACCGGAUGUUCCGAGAGGUAAAAGAAAAAUUCCCUGCAGAUGAGGUCGCGUCUGAUUUGCCAAUUGGUGAGGUAAAGGACCACCAAGGAAGCCAUCAGUAGGUGGUUGGAGCGGAAGACCAGCCACAACGGGAGCGCGAAGAGGCCCAGACCCCUACGGGAGGCAGCAGCGGGGAAUUAUACGCAACGGGCGGAAGACUGAAGAAGCAAUACCGCGUGGGGGAAGAAGGAUCUUGGAUUGUAAAACAGUUCUUUUAGCGAAGAACAAAAUGACGGUACCUAAGGAAUAAGCACCGGCUAACUCCGUG